Molecule: non-coding RNA, 150 nt
Filed under: Salinisphaera hydrothermalis
Lineage: Bacteria; Pseudomonadati; Pseudomonadota; Gammaproteobacteria; Salinisphaerales; Salinisphaeraceae
Also listed under: 1 other name
Description: FMN sequence
Rfam family: FMN riboswitch aptamer (RFN element)
About the family: The RFN element is a highly conserved domain that is found frequently in the 5'-untranslated regions of prokaryotic mRNAs that encode for flavin mononucleotide (FMN) biosynthesis and transport proteins. This element is a metabolite-dependent riboswitch that directly binds FMN in the absence of proteins. In Bacillus subtilis, the riboswitch most likely controls gene expression by causing premature transcription termination within the 5' untranslated region of the ribDEAHT operon and precluding access to the ribosome-binding site of ypaA mRNA.
Source: RNAcentral
AGUUGUCUUCAGGGCGGGGUGCAAUUCCCCACCGGUGGUAGGGCCGAGAUUCGGCCGAGCCCACGAGCGCUUCCGAUCCCCGUCGGAAGGUCAGCAGAUCUGGUCAGAGUCCAGAGCCGACGGUGAUAGUCCGGAUGAAAGAAGACGCGU